ACACAAAGCGCGAGUCUCAACUUUUCUCUCUUUAGAGUCUUCUCUCUACACGCACAUACUACAGAGGAACGCCUCUGUCUCUCUUAUCCUCUCUUCUUCUCUCGGAGGUUUUAUCUGAUAAAAGAUGCCUGCUUGGUGGGGGAAAAAGUCCUCCAAGAACAAGGAAGAGAAGCAGCAAGAUAACCCAUAUGGGAAAAAUGAUGUUACCAAGAAGAAGACCACCAAAGAAAAGCGUAAGAGCUUUGAUGAGGCCGUUUUGACCCGGAAUUCGCCACGUGGGAGCAAAGAUUUAGCGGGUGGAUCUUCCGGGUUUGCGGGUUUCGAUUCGGAUUCGGUCGAGAAGAUAGGGCUUCCACUUCCUACGCCUUCUGGGUCUGGGAGUGAUCAUGGGAUUGGUGG
RNAcentral lists this unclassified non-coding RNA (399 nucleotides) under Hevea brasiliensis (rubber tree). Lineage: Eukaryota; Viridiplantae; Streptophyta; Magnoliopsida; Malpighiales; Euphorbiaceae. The record is from RNAcentral.